RNAcentral lists this unclassified non-coding RNA (336 nucleotides) under soil metagenome. RNAcentral describes it as "partial contains 5.8S ribosomal RNA, internal transcribed spacer 2, and large subunit ribosomal RNA". The stretch from base 1 to 120 matches the Rfam family "5.8S ribosomal RNA", at positions 35 to 154 of the family's 154-position model. The record is from RNAcentral.
GAUGAAGAACGCAGCGAAAUGCGAUAAGUAAUGUGAAUUGCAGAAUUCAGUGAAUCAUCGAAUCUUUGAACGCACAUUGCGCCCGCCAGUAUUCUGGCGGGCAUGCCUGUUCGAGCGUCAUUUCAACCAUCAAGCCCCCGGCUUGUGUUGGGGACCUGCGGCUGCCGCAGGCCCUGAAAACCAGUGGCGGGCUCGCUAGUCACUCCGAGCGUAGUAAUACAUCUCGCUCAGGGCGUGCUGCGGGUUCCGGCCGUUAAAAAAGCCUUAUUUACCCAAGGUUGACCUCGGAUCAGGUAGGAAGACCCGCUGAACUUAAGCAUAUCAAUAAGCGGAGGG